RNAcentral lists this microRNA precursor (78 nucleotides) under Schistosoma mansoni. Its description in RNAcentral is "mir-3492 microRNA precursor family". It matches the Rfam family "mir-3492 microRNA precursor family". Lineage: Eukaryota; Metazoa; Platyhelminthes; Trematoda; Strigeidida; Schistosomatidae. The record is from Rfam by way of RNAcentral.
AGCUUUCUGAGUCCCUGUAGAGAUUUCAUCAGACACAAACCCAUUAGUGCUGAUCAGACUUCGAAGAUAAGUGGAGUU